GAGUAGCUGGGAUUACAGACGCGCGCCACCCCACCCAGAUGAUCUUUUUAAAUGCAAAAUGCCAUCGACGCAGAAAAUCAAAGACAAAAUCUUGCUCUGUCUCCCAGGCUGGAGAGCAGUGGCACCAUCUUGGCUCACUGCAACCUCCACCUCUUGGUUCCAGCAAUCCUUCUACCCCAGCCUCCAGAGUAGGCGGGAUUACAGACAACUGCUCCGGCUUUUCCUUCCACUAUGAUUGGAAGCUUCCUGAGGCCUCCCCAGAAGUAGAAGCCACUACGCUUCCUGUACAGCCUGCAGAACCAUGAGCCAACUAAACCUCUUCUCUUUAUAAAUAUCCCAGUCUUAGGUAUUUCUUUAUAGCAAUGCAAGAACGAACUAAUACAGAAUGUGUUUUCAAGAAAUUUGUCUGUUUCAUCUGAAUUUUCAAUUGGAUUGACUAUGAUAUUUCUCUUUUUUUGUUUGUUCAUUUUUGAUGAGGGGAUCUUACUAUGUUGCUCAGGCUGGUUAAAAACUCCUAGACUCAACCAAUCCUCCCAUUUCAGCUUCCCAAUAGGUGGUAGGAUUUCUAGUUAUCUUGAUUUGUUGAGUCUUUUAUGAAAUAUUCUUUUUGUUUUUAGUAGUAUUAUCGAAACAAAUUUGACUUUGUCUGCUAUUAGAGAAGUCAUAUCAGCUGUCUCUGGUUAGUGUUUUUAUGAUAAACUUUUUUCCAUCCUUUUUCUUUCACCUCUGUGCCAUUUUUAUGGCAUAUCUCUUUAAACAGCAUAUGAUUGGGUUUUUGAUUUUGUAACCAGUCUGACAAUCUUGGUCUUGGUAUACUUACUCAAUAUAUUCGAAGUUAAAACUACCACAUUACAUUUAUUUUAUAUUUGUUCUAUUUGUCCUAUUUCAUUUUCUUCUUUCCCACUUUAACAAAUUAUUUUUAUCUUUCAAUGCCCCCCUCCAGUAGCUUGUUAUUAUAGUUUUUAAAAUUAAACUUUUACUCUUAAUUGCAUAUUGUCAUACAGUUGUAAGAAGCAUUACAGAGAGACACUGUGUCUUUACCCCAUUUUCUCCAAUGACAAUAUUUUGCAAAACUGUAGUACAGUAUCAUAACCAGGAAUUGACAUUGAUACAGUCAAGAUACAGAACAUUUCCAUCACCACAAGGAUCCCUCAAAUUGCCCUUUUAUUGCCUCACCCACUCCCUCCCGUCCCCACUGCCUUCUGAACACCUGGCAACCACUAAGCUGUUCUUUAUUUCUAUAAUUUUGUCAUUUCAAGACAAAAUAUACAAAAAGGCAUGGGCUUAUAUAGUAUGUAACCUUUGGAAUUUUUUUUCUUUUUUGAGACGGAGUCUCGCUCUGUCGCCAGGCUCGAGUGCAGUGGUGCGAUCUCAGGUCACUGCAGUCUCCACCUCCCGUGUUGAAGCAAUUAUCCUGCCUCAGCCUCCAGAGUAGCUGGGACUACAGAUGUGCACCACCACACCCAGCUAAUUUUUGUAUUUUUAGUAG
RNAcentral lists this long non-coding RNA (1489 nucleotides) under Homo sapiens (human). Its description in RNAcentral is "SAP30 divergent transcript". Lineage: Eukaryota; Metazoa; Chordata; Mammalia; Primates; Hominidae. The record is from RNAcentral.